CCAUACCAGCCGGGGAGUUAGCGGUGCCCUGUAACCUGCAAUCCGCUAUAGCAGGGGUGCAUUCCUUCGCCGAGGGCGGUAGCCUUGCGGCCGCGCCGGGCGCGGAGCGUUGACGAACGGGUCCCGCGCAAUCGGCGGCUGUGAACCAUGUCAGGCGGGGAACCGAGCAGCAUUAAGCAGUUAUGCCGAUGUGUUGCGGGGUCGCCUGUUCCGAGCCGAGCGCACGGCUUCCGCGCAGGGCUCUCCGUUCGAGGGAAGGUGUAUGG
Molecule: signal recognition particle RNA, 266 nt
Filed under: Clostridiales bacterium
Lineage: Bacteria; Bacillati; Bacillota; Clostridia; Eubacteriales
Description: signal recognition particle sRNA large type
Rfam family: Bacterial large signal recognition particle RNA
About the family: The signal recognition particle (SRP) is a universally conserved ribonucleoprotein involved in the co-translational targeting of proteins to membranes.
Source: RNAcentral